Molecule: ribosomal RNA, 254 nt
Filed under: uncultured bacterium
Lineage: Bacteria
Description: partial 16S ribosomal RNA
Rfam family: Bacterial small subunit ribosomal RNA
Source: RNAcentral
UACAGAGGUGGCAAGCGUUGUUCGGGAUUACUGGGCGUAAAGGGCGCGUAGGCGGUCUUCUAAGUCUUGUGUGAAAUCCCUCGGCUCAACUGAGGAACUGCACGGGAUACUGGAAGACUUGAGUUCGGGAGAGGGAAGCGGAAUUCCGGGUGUAGCGGUGAAAUGCGUAGAUAUCCGGAGGAACACCGGUGGCGAAGGCGGCUUCCUGGACCGAUUACUGACGCUGAGGCGCGAAAGCUAGGGGAGCAAACGGG